Molecule: microRNA, 22 nt
Filed under: Drosophila melanogaster (fruit fly)
Lineage: Eukaryota; Metazoa; Arthropoda; Insecta; Diptera; Drosophilidae
Description: dme-miR-9381-3p
Source: miRBase by way of RNAcentral
UGCGCACUCGGUCCAUCCCUGG